This 29-nucleotide non-coding RNA is filed under the name Homo sapiens (human). Lineage: Eukaryota; Metazoa; Chordata; Mammalia; Primates; Hominidae. The record is from RNAcentral.
UACAAACCACAGCAAUGAUUCCAAUCUCC